CGUAGGGGGCUAGCGUUGUCCGGAAUCAUUGGGCGUAAAGCGCGUGUAGGCGGCCUGGUAAGCCCGUUCUGAAAGCCCGGGGCUCAACCCCGGGAGGCGGAUGGAUACUGUCAGGCUCGAGUCCGGAAGAGGCGAGUGGAAUUCCCGGUGUAGCGGUGAAAUGCGCAGAUAUCGGGAGGAACACCAAUGGCGAAGGCAGCUCGCUGGGACGGUACUGACGCUGAGACGCGAAAGCGUGGGGAGCAAACAGGAUUAGAUACCCUGGUAGUCCACGCCGUAAACGAUGGACACUAGGUGUGGGAGGUGUCGACUCCUUCCGUGCCGAAGCUAACGCAUUAAGUGUCCCGCCUGGGGAGUACGGCCGCAAGGCUA
This 372-nucleotide ribosomal RNA is filed under the name uncultured organism. Its description in RNAcentral is "bacterial SSU rRNA". It matches the Rfam family "Bacterial small subunit ribosomal RNA", at positions 526 to 896 of the family's 1533-position model. The record is from RNAcentral.